UACAGAGGGUGCGAACGUUGCUCGGAAUUACUGGGCGUAAAGCGCGUGUAGGCGGGGUCGCAAGUCAGGUGUGAAAUCCCCGGGCUCAACCCGGGAACUGCACCUGAAACUGCGAUCCUUGAGUACUGGAGAGGGUGGCGGAAUUCCUGGUGUAGAGGUGAAAUUCGUAGAUAUCAGGAGGAACACCGGUGGCGAAGGCGGCCACCUGGACAGUUACUGACGCUGAGACGCGAAAGCGUGGGGAGCAAACAGG
RNAcentral lists this ribosomal RNA (253 nucleotides) under uncultured bacterium. RNAcentral's name for it is "partial 16S ribosomal RNA". It matches the Rfam family "Bacterial small subunit ribosomal RNA", at positions 524 to 776 of the family's 1533-position model. The record is from RNAcentral.